RNAcentral lists this ribosomal RNA (412 nucleotides) under Culicoides enderleini. Its description in RNAcentral is "partial 16S ribosomal RNA". The record is from RNAcentral. Lineage: Eukaryota; Metazoa; Arthropoda; Insecta; Diptera; Ceratopogonidae.
CUUGACCGUGCCAAGUAGCAUAAUCAUUUGUCUUUUAAUUAAAGGCUUGUAUGAAUGGUUGGAUGAGAUAUAAUCUAUUUUUAUUUAAUUAAAAAUGAAUUUUAAUUUUUAGUAAAAAUGCUAAAAUAAAAAAUAUAGACGAGAAGACCCUAUAAAUCUUUAUUAUUUUUUUAUUAAUUUAUUAAUAGAAAAAAAAAUUUAUUAUUAGAAAAAUAAUUUUAUUGGGGUGAUAAUGAAAUUUAAUAAACUUUUAUUUUAUUUUAUAAAUAUAAUUAAUUUAAUGAUCCAUUUUUAAUGAUUAUAAAAUUAAGUUACUUUAGGGAUAACAGCGUAAUUAUUUUAAAGAGUUCAUAUCGAUAAAAUAGUUUGCGACCUCGAUGUUGAAUUAAGAGUAAGUUUAGGUGUAGAAGCA